RNAcentral lists this small RNA (876 nucleotides) under Pan troglodytes (chimpanzee). RNAcentral describes it as "retained intron". Lineage: Eukaryota; Metazoa; Chordata; Mammalia; Primates; Hominidae. The record is from RNAcentral.
CUUUCCUAAGGUAAAGCUAACUUUCUUCUCUCUCAGAUGGGUUUCAGCCCAGCAGAAGCAUUAUCUUUGCCAGUUGGAGUGCUGGAGACUUUGGAUCGGUUGGUGCCACUGAAUGGCUGGAGGUAAUUCUUUAUCAUCCAUUCCCAUAUCGGACACGAGCUUGUGGGCUUAGGCUGUUCUCCAGAAGUGAUGUUUUUAUAGGUUUGAUUUUACCACUUUUGCCUUUGCGUUUAGUCUCAAUAGAGUCCAGAAUUGAAAAUGAAUCCCUAAUGCUACUGUAUGUGAUAAAUAAACAGAUUUAUACUUAUUAGUGUUUUCCCUUCUCUUCUAGGGAUACCUUUCGUCCCUGCAUUUAAAGGCUUUCACUUACAUUAAUCUGGAUAAAGCGGUUCUUGGUACCAGCAACUUCAAGGUUUCUGCCAGCCCACUGUUGUAUACGCUUAUUGAGAAAACAAUGCAAAAUGUGAAGCAUCCGGUUACUGGGCAAUUUCUAUAUCAGGACAGCAACUGGGCCAGCAAAGUUGAGAAACUCACUUUAGACAAUGCUGCUUUCCCUUUCCUUGCAUAUUCUGGAAUCCCAGCAGUUUCUUUCUGUUUUUGCGAGGACACAGAUUAUCCUUAUUUGGGUACCACCAUGGACACCUAUAAGGAACUGAUUGAGAGGAUUCCUGAGUUGAACAAAGUGGCACGAGCAGCUGCAGAGGUCGCUGGUCAGUUCGUGAUUAAACUAACCCAUGAUGUUGAAUUGAACCUGGACUAUGAGAGGUACAACAGCCAACUGCUUUCAUUUGUGAGGGAUCUGAACCAAUACAGAGCAGACAUAAAGGAAAUGGGCCUGAGUUUACAGUGGCUGUAUUCUGCUCGUGGAGACUUCUU